This 582-nucleotide ribosomal RNA is filed under the name uncultured bacterium. Its description in RNAcentral is "bacterial SSU rRNA". It matches the Rfam family "Bacterial small subunit ribosomal RNA", at positions 8 to 559 of the family's 1533-position model. The record is from RNAcentral.
AGGGUUUGAUCAUGGCUCAGAACGAACGCUGGCGGCGUGGAUAAGACAUGCAAGUCGAGCGACAGACCAGGAAUUGAUUACUUCGGUUUGAUUUUCCUGACGAUGAGCGGCGAACGGGUGCGUAACACGUGAGAAAUCUGCCCUUAAGUUUGGGAUAGCCCUACGAAAGUAGGAUUAAUACCGGAUAAGGCCCUGGGAGGGCAUCUUCCCUUGGCUAAAGCUCGGUUAUAGAGCGCUUUUGGAUGAUCUCGCGGUCUAUCAGCUUGUUGGUGAGGUAACGGCUCACCAAGGCUAUGACGGAUAGCUGGUCUGAGAGGAUGAUCAGCCUCACUGGAACUGAGACACGGUCCAGACACCUACGGGUGGCAGCAGUCGAGAAUCAUUCACAAUGGGCGAAAGCCUGAUGGUGCGACGCCGCGUGGGGGAUGAAGGGCUUCGGUUCGUAAACCCCUGUCAUCUGUGAGUAAGACUCCCAAUAAAAGCUUGGGAGGUUGAUAUUAGCAGAAGAGGAAGGGACGGCUAACUCUGUGCCAGCAGCCGCGGUAAUACAGAGGUCCCAAGCGUUGUUCGGAUUUACUGGGC